GACGAACGCUGGCGGCGUGCUUAACACAUGCAAGUCGAACGGAAAGGCCCUGCUUUUGUGGGGUGCUCGAGUGGCGAACGGGUGAGUAACACGUGAGUAACCUGCCCUUGACUUUGGGAUAACUUCAGGAAACUGGGGCUAAUACCGGAUAGGAGCUCCUGCUGAAUGGUGGGGGUGGGAAAGUUUCGGCGGUUGGGGAUGGACUCGCGGCUUAUCAGCUUGUUGGUGGGGUAGUGGCUUACCAAGGCUUUGACGGGUAGCCGGCCUGAGAGGGUGACCGGCCACAUUGGGACUGAGAUACGGCCCAGACUCCUACGGGAGGCAGCAGUGGGGAAUAUUGCACAAUGGGCGGAAGCCUGAUGCAGCAACGCCGCGUGCGGGAUGACGGCCUUCGGGUUGUAAACCGCUUUCGCCUGUGACGAAGCGUGAGUGACGGUAAUGGGUAAAGAAGCACCGGCUAACUACGUG
This 468-nucleotide ribosomal RNA is filed under the name uncultured bacterium. RNAcentral describes it as "partial 16S ribosomal RNA". It matches the Rfam family "Bacterial small subunit ribosomal RNA", at positions 28 to 507 of the family's 1533-position model. The record is from RNAcentral.